GGCGCAGUGCUGGAAUUGGUAUACAGACAGGUCUUAAACACCUGGGCCCAUGAGGGAUUGAGGGUUCAACUCCCUCCUGCGUCA
RNAcentral lists this transfer RNA (84 nucleotides) under Caudoviricetes sp. RNAcentral's name for it is "tRNA-Leu". It matches the Rfam family "tRNA". From Rfam's summary of the family: Transfer RNA (tRNA) molecules are approximately 80 nucleotides in length. Lineage: Duplodnaviria; Heunggongvirae; Uroviricota; Caudoviricetes. The record is from RNAcentral.